UCCAAAUCGAAUGAAAUAACAACAGCACAUAUUCUAGCUUUGAUUCUUCUUCUUCUUCCCGGCCCAUCUCCUUAUUUCACGUUUCGUAGUCUUUAGACUUUUUGAACCGAUAUUGUCGCGAGGGACAUAAAUGCUCCAUUCUUCUUCUUCUUCUUCUUCUUCUUCUUUCUCUCUGAGUUAGUGCACUAAGGUUUUGCUCUUUAGCCAUGGCAGACUCAGAUUAUCGUUCUCCAAUAGUACUCUCUGUAACUCUUCUCCUCCUCUUCGUUACAGUCCUCUUCUUCUCUCCAUUAAACCGAAACCAAUAUCUUUCGCUCAAUCUUUUAUCUCCUUCCUCCUCCCUAUCUAACUCUUCUUCUACUCAUCAUAACCAACAAACCACCGACAACGACAAAGCCGUGCAUGUCGUUUCAGCACCGGCACCGGCGCCGUCGCUUCCGCCGUUUCACCAACAUGGGCCUCCCUCCACUCUCACUUUGCCUCAAGUACUCAGUCACAGUGUCAAAAACAAGAGCAAAACGCAAAGGAUUGAAGAAGAGUUGGCCAGAGCAAGAGCCAUUAUUCGCAAAGCUAUUCUGACGAAGAAUUACACCUCUGACAGGAAUGAGAUUUACAUCCCAAGAGGAAGUGUUUACAGAAAUCCCUAUGCAUUUCAUCAGAGUCAUAUAGAAAUGGUCAAGACAUUCAAGGUCUGGGCCUAUAGGGAAGGAGAAGUACCAAUGGUCCAUGAUGGGCCAACUACGUACCUCUACUCCAUAGAGGGCCAGUUCAUUUUUGAGAUGGAAAGUCGGCCAAGCCCUUUCAUGGCCAAGAAUCCUGAUGAGGCUCAUACAUUCUUCUUACCAUUGAGUGUGUCCAAGAUUACUGACUUCCUGUUCAGACCUCACCAUGAGACAUUUUUUCAUCGACUGGGUCGCGUCUUCACCGACUACAUUCAUGUUGUACAAGAAAAGUAUCCUUACUGGAAUAGGAGUGGUGGAGCAGACCAUUUUAUGGUCUCAUGUCAUGAUUGGGCAUCACUUAUCCAACGUGAUGACCCCAAGCCGUACAAGAAUCUGAUGAAGGUGUUAUGCAAUGCAAACAUCUCUGAAGGGUUUAAGCCUACUAGAGAUGUCUCAAUACCAGAAUACAACUUAAAACGCUACGAGCUUGGCCCUCCCCGUUUUGGGCUACCCCCUCAUAACCGUACUGUCCUUGCUUUCUUUGCUGGUGCAGCCCAUGGAGACAUAAGGAGCAUUUUGUUUGAGCAUUGGAAGGAAAAAGAUGAUGAAGUUCGGGUCUAUGAAAAACUUCCUCAGACUAUAAACUACCACAAGAUCAUGGGACAAACCAAGUUUUGCUUGUGCCCGAGUGGUUCUGAAGUGGCAAGUCCUAGAGUAGUGGAGGCAAUGAAUGCAGGGUGUGUCCCGGUGCUAAUUUCCGAUUCCUAUGCAAUACCUUUUGCUGAUGUUCUUAACUGGAACAAGUUUUCUAUACAAAUUCCGCCCAAGAGAAUAUCAGAAAUCAAGACAAUAUUGAAGGCUGUUCCACACAAAAGGUACUUGACAUUGCAGAAGAGGGUGAUGCAAGUGAGAAGGCAUUUUGAGCUCAACCGACCAGCUAAGCCAUUUGAUGUAUUCCAUAUGGUGCUUCACUCAGUGUGGCUUAAAAGGCUCAACAUUCGAUUACCUGAUAAAUUUUGAGGAUUAGAAGGCAUCGCUUCAUUAGCUUGUAAAGAUUUAAUCACCGAUCACUUUUCUAACCGUGAGAUGAUUCUGUCUGUGAUUCCUUUUCCUGUGGAGUUUGAGUUAAGUUUCUGUUCAGAAGAGCUGUUUUUAGGUUGGAACAGACUGCUUAACAGUUCCAUGCAUUGUUGUAUAGACCAAGGCCCCAUCACAGGUUGCUUACAUGAGUGUAGCUCCUCUAUCGAUAUCUAUGGAAAAGCAGAACAUGCAACUUACCAAUUAACAGGUAUUUUGGUUAACAGCUGAGCUAGAUAAACUAUUAUAUCAGAUCAGGACUCCAAUCUUUUUAACUGUCUAAGUAGAUGAUGAAAUGAGUUUUCUCAAUGGAUUUUCUGCCCUAUAUUUGUUUUUU
Rosa rugosa (rugosa rose) is the source of this 2076-nucleotide RNA transcript. It is a transcript of the gene named probable glycosyltransferase At5g20260, with no coding region annotated. NCBI's taxonomy places the organism in Eukaryota, Viridiplantae, Streptophyta, Magnoliopsida, Rosales, Rosaceae. The record is from RefSeq and is a predicted model, not a curated record. The transcript is spliced from 5 exons.